UACGAAGGGGGGCUAGCGUUGCUCGGAUUGACUGGGCGUAAAGGGCGCGUAGGCGGUUCGUACAGUCAGACGUGAAAUUCCUGGGCUCAACCUGGGGGCUGCGUUUGAUACGUGCGGACUUGAGUGUGGAAGAGGGUCGUGGAAUUCCCAGUGUAGAGGUGAAAUUCGUAGAUAUUGGGAAGAACACCGGUGGCGAAGGCGGCCAUCUGGACCGCAACUGACGCUGAGGCGCGAAAGCGUGGGGAGCAAACAGG
RNAcentral lists this ribosomal RNA (254 nucleotides) under uncultured bacterium. RNAcentral's name for it is "partial 16S ribosomal RNA". It matches the Rfam family "Bacterial small subunit ribosomal RNA", at positions 524 to 776 of the family's 1533-position model. The record is from RNAcentral.